RNAcentral lists this transfer RNA (73 nucleotides) under Chloroflexota bacterium. RNAcentral describes it as "Chloroflexi bacterium tRNA-Lys". It matches the Rfam family "tRNA". Rfam says of the family: Transfer RNA (tRNA) molecules are approximately 80 nucleotides in length. Their secondary structure includes four short double-helical elements and three loops (D, anti-codon, and T loops). The record is from RNAcentral. Lineage: Bacteria; Bacillati; Chloroflexota.
ACCCUUGUAACUCAAUCGGUAGAGUAGCGGUCUUUUAAACCGCAGGUUAUAGGUUCAAUCCCUAUCAAGGGCA